GACUGGAUAGCCUAGUGGUAAAGGCAACACUCUAGCAUACUGAGGUCCCAGGUUCAAAUCCUGGUCCACUUU
RNAcentral lists this transfer RNA (72 nucleotides) under Melampsora larici-populina 98AG31. Its description in RNAcentral is "tRNA-Ala (AGC) (tRNA-Ala-AGC-7-1)". It matches the Rfam family "tRNA". From Rfam's summary of the family: Transfer RNA (tRNA) molecules are approximately 80 nucleotides in length. Their secondary structure includes four short double-helical elements and three loops (D, anti-codon, and T loops). Lineage: Eukaryota; Fungi; Basidiomycota; Pucciniomycetes; Pucciniales; Melampsoraceae. The record is from RNAcentral.